Molecule: long non-coding RNA, 475 nt
Organism: Penaeus chinensis
Lineage: Eukaryota; Metazoa; Arthropoda; Malacostraca; Decapoda; Penaeidae
Exons: 2
Source: RefSeq, a predicted model, not a curated record
UAUCUUGGAUAUUAGCAUAUAGUACUUCCCGGUCUCCUGCCAAUGCUCCAGUACAGCCAGGCGUCUCUGGAUGACCUUGCAUUACCAUCGUCUCUUAAGCCUCUCACGGAAGAUAUUGGUUUCAGCAGUCGAACCAGAGACCAGAUGCAGGCCACCCGGGACCUCAUUAACAAAAGCCUCCUGAGAUGGUCCCACGGCUGAUGAAACACGGUCUCCCCUUCCCUUAAAAAUUCCGUCCCAAGAGAGCCAACUGGCACUAAGAAAAUGUGAAGGUAUUUUGGUUGGAUCUUGGUUCUCUUUGUGUUUUCUUCAGAGUGUAUAUUAUUAUUUUUUUAAGUGCGGAUUCUUCCAGAUACUUUUGCCGUUCGAUUUUGUUUUUUUAGAUCACGAUUAUUGUCUAUGUAUGUUGUUUAUCAAACUGAAUGAAAUUUCUUUUUUGUGAUAAUUUUCUCGUCAAAUAAAAAAAACAAAAGUG